CUUAGCAGCGCGUGGGAACGUGCCCUUUACUACGGAAUAGCCAUUGGAAACGAUGAUUAAUACCUGUAUACUGCCCCAAGGGGUGAAAGAUUUAUCUGCUAAAGGAUCGGCCCGCGUUAGAUUAGGUAGUUGGUAGUGGUAACUGUGCCUACCAAUGCCGACGCAUCUACUAGCUGUGUUUGAGACGGAUGAUCAGCAACACUGGGACUGAGACACGGCCCAGACUUCUACGGAAGGCAGCAGUAGGGAAUCUUGGACAAUGGGCGAAAGCCUGAUCCAGCCAUGCCGCGUGAGUGAUGAAGGCCCUAGGGUUGUAAAGCUCUUUCGCCAGGGAAGAUAAUGACGGUACCUGGUAAAGAAACCCCGGCUAACUCCGUGCCAGCAGCCGCGGUAAUACGAGGGGGGCAAGCGUUGUCCGGAAUCAUUGGGCGUAAAGGGUUCGUAGGCGGACUGACCAGUUGGAAUUGAAAGACCACGGCUUAACCGGGGGAACGGUUUCAAUACUAUUAGUCUUGAGUGAGGUAGAGGUAAGCGGAAUUCCUGCUGUAGCGGUGAAAUGCGUAGAUAUCAGGAGGAACAUCAAAGGCGAAGGCAGCUUACUGCGACUAUACUGACGCUGAGGAAAGAAAGGUGGGGAGCAACAGGUUAGAGACCUGGUAGUCACGCCGUAACGAUGAGACUGGUGUG
RNAcentral lists this ribosomal RNA (687 nucleotides) under uncultured Alphaproteobacteria bacterium. Its description in RNAcentral is "bacterial SSU rRNA". It matches the Rfam family "Bacterial small subunit ribosomal RNA", at positions 106 to 824 of the family's 1533-position model. The record is from RNAcentral. Lineage: Bacteria; Pseudomonadati; Pseudomonadota; Alphaproteobacteria.